Molecule: ribosomal RNA, 253 nt
Filed under: uncultured bacterium
Lineage: Bacteria
Description: partial 16S ribosomal RNA
Rfam family: Bacterial small subunit ribosomal RNA
Source: RNAcentral
UACGUAGGGGGCAAGCGUUAUCCGGAUUUACUGGGUGUAAAGGGAGCGUAGACGGCAAUGCAAGUCUGGAGUGAAAGGCGGGGGCCCAACCCCCGGACUGCUCUGGAAACCGUAUAGCUGGAGUGCAGGAGAGGUAAGUGGAAUUCCUAGUGUAGCGGUGAAAUGCGUAGAUAUUAGGAGGAACACCAGUGGCGAAGGCGGCUUACUGGACUGUAACUGACGUUGAGGCUCGAAAGCGUGGGGAGCAAACAGG